This is a long non-coding RNA of Cavia porcellus (domestic guinea pig), 392 nucleotides long. RefSeq lists it as uncharacterized. The record is from RefSeq and is a predicted model, not a curated record. NCBI's taxonomy places the organism in Eukaryota, Metazoa, Chordata, Mammalia, Rodentia, Caviidae. The transcript is spliced from 2 exons.
CGCGCCGCCGCUGCUCCAGCUUCGCCCGGCCCCGAGAGCUGCGCUCAAACCACAGCCGCAACGUCCUGGCCAGCAGGCGCUGGCGCCGGUGCCACAGCGCCGCGAGCAUUUGCGGCUGCCCCCGGGGCGCGUGCAGCGAAAUCAAACUGAGGACCUUGCCCCGCAGGAGCUGUGCCUGAGAUACAUCUCCCGCCCCUAUAUGUAUCUUUUUAAAAACAACAUUGAUACCUUGUAGAAAGGGUGGGGAAACUUCCACUUACUGCUCUGGAAAGGUUGUGUAAUAGAGAAUCAGAUCAAUCUGAUUUCGGAGAGGCUGCCCGGCUGCUGGAAGGACAGCAUUUAACUCAACCUCUGAGACAAAAGAAAUACAACAAUAAAUCUGCCAGACAAUG